AUUGAACGCUGGCGGCAGGCCUAACACAUGCAAGUCGAACGAGGGGCGGACGGGCGUGCUAUGUCUGGGAAACUGCCUGAUGGAGGGGGAAAACUACGGGAAACGGUAUCCAAUACCGCAUCCCAUCGGAUGUGCCCAGUUGGGAUUAUCUAGUAGGUGGGGCAACGGCUCACCUAGGCGACGAUCCCCAGCUGGUCGGAGAGGAUGACCAGCAACACUGGAACUGAGACACGGUCCAGACUCCUACGGGAGGCAGCAGUGGGGAAUAUUGCACAAUGGGCGCAAGCCUGAUGCAGCCAUGCCGCGUGUGUGAAGAAGGCCUUCGGGUUGUAAAGCACUUUCAGCGGGGAGGCGUUACCCGCAGAAGAAGCACCGGCUAACUCCGUGCCAGCAGCCGCGGUAAUAC
Molecule: ribosomal RNA, 406 nt
Filed under: uncultured bacterium
Lineage: Bacteria
Description: partial 16S ribosomal RNA
Rfam family: Bacterial small subunit ribosomal RNA
Source: RNAcentral